RNAcentral lists this ribosomal RNA (497 nucleotides) under uncultured bacterium. RNAcentral describes it as "partial 16S ribosomal RNA". The stretch from base 54 to 497 matches the Rfam family "Bacterial small subunit ribosomal RNA", at positions 39 to 507 of the family's 1533-position model. The record is from RNAcentral.
GGGGGGGGGGGGGGGGGGGGGGGGGGGGGGGGGGGCGGGGGGGGGGGGGGGGGGCGGGGGGCGGUGGGGGGAGCGGCGGGCGGGGGAGGGACGCGGGGGUAACCUGCCUAUAAGACGGGGGUAACUUCGGGAAACCGUAGCUAAUACCGGAUAAUAUUUUGAACCGCAUGGUUCAAAAGUGAAAGACGGUCUUGCUGUCACUUAUAGAUGGAUCCGCGCUGCAUUAGCUAGUUGGUAAGGUAACGGCUUACCAAGGCAACGAUGCAUAGCCGACCUGAGAGGGUGAUCGGCCACACUGGAACUGAGACACGGUCCAGACUCCUACGGGAGGCAGCAGUAGGGAAUCUUCCGCAAUGGGCGAAAGCCUGACGGAGCAACGCCGCGUGAGUGAUGAAGGUCUUCGGAUCGUAAAACUCUGUUAUUAGGGAGGAACAUAUGUGUAAGUAACUGUGCACAUCUUGACGGUACCUAAUCAGAAAGCCACGGCUAACUACGUG